RNAcentral lists this ribosomal RNA (1373 nucleotides) under uncultured bacterium. RNAcentral describes it as "bacterial SSU rRNA". It matches the Rfam family "Bacterial small subunit ribosomal RNA", at positions 28 to 1381 of the family's 1533-position model. The record is from RNAcentral.
GAUGAACGCUGGCGGCGUGCCUAAUACAUGCAAGUCGAGCGAACGGACGAGAAGCUUGCUUCUCUGAUGUUAGCGGCGGACGGGUGAGUAACACGUGGAUAACCUACCUAUAAGACUGGGAUAACUUCGGGAAACCGGAGCUAAUACCGGAUAAUAUUUUGAACCGCAUGGUUCAAAAGUGAAAGACGGUCUUGCUGUCACUUAUAGAUGGAUCCGCGCUGCAUUAGCUAGUUGGUAAGGUAACGGCUUACCAAGGCAACGAUGCAUAGCCGACCUGAGAGGGUGAUCGGCCACACUGGAACUGAGACACGGUCCAGACUCCUACGGGAGGCAGCAGUAGGGAAUCUUCCGCAAUGGGCGAAAGCCUGACGGAGCAACGCCGCGUGAGUGAUGAAGGUCUUCGGAUCGUAAAACUCUGUUAUUAGGGAAGAACAUAUGUGUAAGUAACUGUGCACAUCUUGACGGUACCUAAUCAGAAAGCCACGGCUAACUACGUGCCAGCAGCCGCGGUAAUACGUAGGUGGCAAGCGUUAUCCGGAAUUAUUGGGCGUAAAGCGCGCGUAGGCGGUUUUUUAAGUCUGAUGUGAAAGCCCACGGCUCAACCGUGGAGGGUCAUUGGAAACUGGAAAACUUGAGUGCAGAAGAGGAAAGUGGAAUUCCAUGUGUAGCGGUGAAAUGCGCAGAGAUAUGGAGGAACACCAGUGGCGAAGGCGACUUGUCUGGUCUGUAACUGACGCUGAUGUGCGAAAGCGUGGGGAUCAAACAGGAUUAGAUACCCUGGUAGUCCACGCCGUAAACGAUGAGUGCUAAGUGUUAGGGGGUUUCCGCCCCUUAGUGCUGCAGCUAACGCAUUAAGCACUCCGCCUGGGGAGUACGACCGCAAGGUUGAAACUCAAAGGAAUUGACGGGGACCCGCACAAGCGGUGGAGCAUGUGGUUUAAUUCGAAGCAACGCGAAGAACCUUACCAAAUCUUGACAUCCUUUGACAACUCUAGAGAUAGAGCCUUCCCCUUCGGGGGACAAAGUGACAGGUGGUGCAUGGUUGUCGUCAGCUCGUGUCGUGAGAUGUUGGGUUAAGUCCCGCAACGAGCGCAACCCUUAAGCUUAGUUGCCAUCAUUAAGUUGGGCACUCUAAGUUGACUGCCGGUGACAAACCGGAGGAAGGUGGGGAUGACGUCAAAUCAUCAUGCCCCUUAUGAUUUGGGCUACACACGUGCUACAAUGGACAAUACAAAGGGCAGCGAAACCGCGAGGUCAAGCAAAUCCCAUAAAGUUGUUCUCAGUUCGGAUUGUAGUCUGCAACUCGACUACAUGAAGCUGGAAUCGCUAGUAAUCGUAGAUCAGCAUGCUACGGUGAAUACGUUCCCGGGUCU